RNAcentral lists this ribosomal RNA (255 nucleotides) under uncultured bacterium. RNAcentral's name for it is "partial 16S ribosomal RNA". It matches the Rfam family "Bacterial small subunit ribosomal RNA", at positions 524 to 776 of the family's 1533-position model. The record is from RNAcentral.
UACGUAGGGUGCGAGCGUUGUCCGGAAUUAUUGGGCGUAAAGGGCUCGUAGGCGGUCUGUCGCGUCGGGAGUAGAAAACUCAGGGCUUAACCCUGAGCCUGCUUCCGAUACGGGCAGACUAGAGGUAUGCAGGGGGAGAACGGAAUUCCUGGUGUAGCGGUGGAAUGCGCAGAUAUCAGGAGGAACACCGGUGGCGAAGGCGGAUCUCUGGGCCAUUACUGACGCUGAGGAGCGAAAGCGUGGGGAGCGAACAGG